RNAcentral lists this ribosomal RNA (520 nucleotides) under uncultured Glomeromycotina. Its description in RNAcentral is "SSU rRNA". It matches the Rfam family "Eukaryotic small subunit ribosomal RNA", at positions 569 to 1091 of the family's 1831-position model. The record is from RNAcentral. Lineage: Eukaryota; Fungi; Glomeromycota.
AGCAGCCGCGGUAAUUCCAGCUCCAAUAGCGUAUAUUAAAGUUGUUGCAGUUAAAAAGCUCGUAGUUGAAUUUCGGGAUGAUCAGGUUGGUCGUGCCAUUGGUAUGUACUAGCUUUGGUGGUUCCUACCUCUUGAAGAACCGUAAUGUCAUUAACUUGGUGUUGCGGGGAAUCAGGACUGUUACUUUGAAAAAUUAGAGUGUUUAAAGCAGGCAAACGCUUGAAUACAUUAGCAUGGAAUAAUGAAAUAGGACGUUUGAUCUUAUUUUGUUGGUUUCUAGGAUCGACGUAAUGAUUAAUAGGGAUAGUUGGGAGCAUUAGUAUUCAAUUGUCAGAGGUGAAAUUCUUGGAUUUAUUGAAGACUAACUACUGCGAAAGCAUUUGCCAAGGAUGUUUUCAUUAAUCAAGAACGAAAGUUAGGGGAUCGAAGACGAUCAGAUACCGUCGUAGUCUUAACCAUAAACUAUGCCGACUAGGGAUCGGAUGAUGUUAAUUUUUUAAUGACUCAUUCGGCGCCUUAA